RNAcentral lists this ribosomal RNA (450 nucleotides) under Achromobacter sp. RNAcentral describes it as "bacterial SSU rRNA". It matches the Rfam family "Bacterial small subunit ribosomal RNA", at positions 30 to 473 of the family's 1533-position model. Lineage: Bacteria; Pseudomonadati; Pseudomonadota; Betaproteobacteria; Burkholderiales; Alcaligenaceae. The record is from RNAcentral.
AUUGAACGCUAGCGGGAUGCCUUACACAUGCAAGUCGAACGGCAGCACGGACUUCGGUCUGGUGGCGAGUGGCGAACGGGUGAGUAAUGUAUCGGAACGUGCCCAGUAGCGGGGGAUAACUACGCGAAAGCGUAGCUAAUACCGCAUACGCCCUUAGGGGGAAAGCAGGGGAUCGCAAGACCUUGCACUAUUGGAGCGGCCGAUAUCGGAUUAGCUAGUUGGUGAGGUAAUGGCUCACCAAGGCCGCGAUCCGUAGCUGGUUUGAGAGGACGACCAGCCACACUGGGACUGAGACACGGCCCAGACUCCUACGGGAGGCAGCAGUGGGGAAUUUUGGACAAUGGGGGAAACCCUGAUCCAGCCAUCCCGCGUGUGCGAUGAAGGCCUUCGGGUUGUAAAGCACUUUUGGCAGGAAAGAAACGGCGCGUGCUAAUACCAUGCGCAACUGAC